AGAGUUUGAUCCUGGCUCAGAGCGAACGCUGGCGGCGUGCUUAACACAUGCAAGUCGAACGCGCAGCAUUCUGUAGCAAUACAGGGUGUGGGCGCGUGGCGAACGGGUGCGUAACACGUGGAUAACCUUCCUUCAGGUGGGGAAUAACCCAGUGAAAACUGGGCUAAUACCGCAUAACAUGACGAUGGCACAUGCUGUUGUCUUCAAAGGCGCAAGUCGCCAGAAGAGGGAUCCGCGGCCGAUUAGCUUGUUGGCGAGGUAAUGGCUCACCAAGGCAUUGAUCGGUAGCCGGACUGAGAGGUUGGCCGGCCACACUGGAACUGAGACACGGUCCAGACUCCUACGGGAGGCAGCAGUGGGGAAUCUUGCACAAUGGACGAAAGUCUGAUGCAGCAACGCCGCGUGGGGGAGGAAGCUUCUCGGAGUGUAAACCCCUUUCGACCCG
RNAcentral lists this ribosomal RNA (445 nucleotides) under uncultured bacterium. RNAcentral's name for it is "bacterial SSU rRNA". It matches the Rfam family "Bacterial small subunit ribosomal RNA", at positions 8 to 443 of the family's 1533-position model. The record is from RNAcentral.